CAGAAAGCGCCUGGACAACAGCGCCGUAAAAUAAAAAGGCUCUGAAUUUGGACACCCCGCUGUUUACGGAUGGACAAUAAUAACGGUGGGUCUAGGGGUCAACCAUUACAGCGAAGACCCAUGGACGACAGGACCAGAGGUCAACGACGGGGCGAAGGCGGGACCUUUCAAGUGGCUUGGAUUGUGGCAAUUAGCAGGCGGCCAGCGGUGGCGUGGCUUGGCAGGUGGUCUGCUGCAGUGUGGAUUAGCUGGUGGCUGGCACCCUUUGGAGGAUUGGCAGGUGGACUCCACGGUGGUGUCCGCGGCAGGUGGCGGCGUGGAAUCCGGGGCAGGUGUCGUGGAGUCCGUGGCAGGCAGCGGAGAGGGACCAACUGAUUUGGAGUGGAGUCCACUGCAGGUGACUCUGGUACUGCACUCUCAAAGACUGAAUGAACCAGCAUUGCAGCCAUGGGUCACUGUGAGCAUCACAGGGAAGGUUGAAGCAGCCCACUGCAGCUGUAUGGCCGGAGUCGCAGAGACCUGCAGCCAUGUCGCUGCUCUUCUGUUUAAUGUAGAAGCAACAGUGUUGAUCCGUGGCACAAGGACUGUUACAGAUGAACCUGCAAACUGGGUUUUGCUGGGUAAUGUGACCAAGAUACAGCCAGAGAUUGGCCAUAAGAUAGACUUCUCCUCUUCAGCUGCCUAAAAAAAGGCUCUUGAUCAAAACAUAAACAGACCAUCCGUAGUGACAGGUAAAAGAAGCCGUCCUCAAAAAAGGAAAAUUCCACCUGCUACUGUGGAGGAGUCUAGAUGUAUGCCUGUAGUGCACUGCCGUGUAAAUAAUUUGCAUUUACUGAAUAUGUACUGACUGAGUACCACUGUUCAAAAGUUGAAUAAAGAAACAAACUAAUUUUUGCCUCUUUUUUAUUUUUUUUAUUAAAACCACCUUAUAGAGCAUCACAUCAGUAACAGUGUAGAAUCCAUGUCAUUUAUAGUUUACAAAUGACAAAAUGUUUACACAAAAUCAUGA
Astatotilapia calliptera (eastern happy) is the source of this 1009-nucleotide long non-coding RNA. The record is from Ensembl. NCBI's taxonomy places the organism in Eukaryota, Metazoa, Chordata, Actinopteri, Cichliformes, Cichlidae.